This 297-nucleotide ribosomal RNA is filed under the name uncultured Pseudomonadota bacterium. RNAcentral describes it as "uncultured proteobacterium partial 16S ribosomal RNA". It matches the Rfam family "Bacterial small subunit ribosomal RNA", at positions 29 to 351 of the family's 1533-position model. The record is from RNAcentral. Lineage: Bacteria; Pseudomonadati; Pseudomonadota.
AACGAACGCUGGCGGCAGGCCUAACACAUGCAAGUCGAACGCUCGUAGCAAUACGGGAGUGGCAGACGGGUGAGUAACGCGUGGGAACGUACCUUUCGGUUCGGAAUAACCCUGGGAAACUCGGGCUAAUACCGGAUACGUCCGCAAGGAGAAAGAUUUAUCGCCGAAAGAUCGGCCCGCGUCGGAUUAGCUAGUUGGUGAGGUAACGGCCCACCAAGGCGACGAUCCGUAGCUGGUCUGAGAGGAUGAUCAGCCACACUGGGACUGAGACACGGCCCAGACACCUACGGGAGGCAG